Molecule: ribosomal RNA, 240 nt
Filed under: uncultured Actinomycetales bacterium
Lineage: Bacteria; Bacillati; Actinomycetota; Actinomycetes; Actinomycetales
Description: partial 16S ribosomal RNA
Rfam family: Bacterial small subunit ribosomal RNA
Source: RNAcentral
ACUCGAGUGGCGAACGGGUGAGUAACACGUGGGUGAUCUGCCCUGCACUUCGGGAUAAGCCUGGGAAACUGGGUCUAAUACCGGAUAGGAGCCAUUUUUAGUGUGAUGUUGGAAAGUUUUUCGGUGUAGGAUGAGCUCGCGGCCUAUCAGCUUGUUGGUGGGGUAAUGGCCUACCAAGGCGGCGACGGGUAGCCGGCCUGAGAGGGUGGACGGCCACAUUGGGACUGAGAUACGGCCCAG